Small nuclear RNA from Ictidomys tridecemlineatus (thirteen-lined ground squirrel), 160 nucleotides. Its record names the gene U1. It matches the Rfam family "U1 spliceosomal RNA". From Rfam's summary of the family: U1 is a small nuclear RNA (snRNA) component of the spliceosome (involved in pre-mRNA splicing). Its 5' end forms complementary base pairs with the 5' splice junction, thus defining the 5' donor site of an intron. Lineage: Eukaryota; Metazoa; Chordata; Mammalia; Rodentia; Sciuridae. The record is from Ensembl.
CUACUUACCUGGCAGAGGAUACACAAUGAUCACAAAAGUGAUUUUCCCUGAGUGUGGCUUAUCCACAGCACUGCAGAUGUGCUGACCCCUGUGAUUUCCCCAAAUGUAGGAAACUUGCAUAAUUUGUGGUAGUGGGGGACUACAGUAGCACUCUCCCCUC